UUCUUUUUUCUUCUCGCCGUUUCGUUUCCCCUUAUUCUCGAUGUAAGCUCAUGUUUUGAUUUAAUCUCCCAUUCAAUAUUGUUUUACAGGUAAAAGAUGUCAAGGCAAGGUUUAGUCUUUUUGGAUCAAGUUCUAAAGCGUUGCAAGGCCACCUCAAUAAAACAGGAUGUAUUCUCUCUGUCCUUUUCCCUUUCAUUGUGUUCUAAAGUGAACGAAAUGUCGUUUUCUCACACCAUUGGCAGAUUGCGUAGCAGUCGGGAUGAAAAUAAUGAUGGUGGUGUCCUUUGUACACUCGUGGGAGAUAGCUUCAAAGGUAAAUAUAGAAAUCCGGGCUGCAUUUCUCCCUCCACGUAAUAUACUAUGUAAGAUUUAAAUGAGGGGAACUACGAAUUCUAUCCGUUUUAAAUGAACCUACCCAGCACAAAGGGUAAGCUUUUACUUUUUCUAUUGUGUGAUUUGGAUUCUUGGGGCCGGUUGUAUGUCCACACCAUGCAUGUGAAACUUAUUCUCAUGUGACAUGGCAUUAAUAUGUUUUUUAUGUACCAAAUAUUCUCAACUUUAAAGGACAUGAUCUGUUGGCACUCUUUACUGCUGGUAGGUAGACUACAGAUUUGCACCCGUUGGUGAUUGAGAGAUCUGAGGUACUCUGUUCAGUAUGUUUCCAAAUUUUAAUGUGAUUUAACCCGGAACGUAUAGGUGUCAAGGUUUCGGAUUGCAUGGGAUAAUUAUUUUUUUGGCCGACGGAUGGAAAUAUCUUGAUUCCCUUGCUGGUCCGUGGUGCACAACUAUAGGAGUGAACAAUCAUCUUACCUCAUAUUGUUUUUUUGAAGUUAGUCUAUCAGCAUUGAGUUGGUCAUCCCCUGGAUAGUUGUACGAAGAGGUCUCAGGUUCGAAUGCACUGACGCUGUUUAUUCGAAGUUGGUAUAUCUGCUGGUGUCCAAUAAUUAAGUUGGUGUUCGUCAAUUGCUACUGCUUGAUAGUUGUCCAGUAUUAGUGCUUAUAUAUUUUUCUGGGAAUUUGUAGGUGGGAAUGAACAAAAACUUGAAUUUAUAGUGCUGCUGCAGCUAACAACCCAGUGUUGGGAAACACCUCAUUUGAUAAACACCCUCUCAAUGAUUCCCUCUAUAUUAUUAGUCUCUAUUGACUUUCGUAGUUGUAUUGUCAUUUUAAUUAAUCUAUUGUAAUCUAUUAUUGCUACUGCAAAAGAAAUUUCUCACAGCCAACACAUUAAAAAGCAAAUCGUAGAAACAGAUGGAGCACGUGGUGGUGGUGGGCCUGGUGGCUUCUGAUGCAACAUUUAUGACUCCUAACAGAAUUGGGUUAGUGUUUCUACAUCUAAUGUUUGCUGUUUUGGAAGCAUCUAUGAUUAGAUGUACCAAUGCUAACCCAAUAUUAGUCGGAAAAAGAAAGAAGACACUACCAGUUAUCUGUAUGUUAGGGGAUGGCUUAAUGAACCUAUUGAGGUUAGAAUUGUGUAGAAGAAUUCAUGUGGUCUUUCAACAAGAACAGAGGUAUAUUCUGGUGGAACAGGUUGGUAUACCCUUCUUUCUAUGUUGAUAGCGCACUUGCAGGUAACAUAACAACUUACCUUUUUCUCUAUUGGGCUGCUUUGCAACUAUAUUCUUAAAGGACACCUACGAAUAUGUGGCCACUGGCAACGAGUGUUUAUUCUUUCUCUCUAUAUAUUUUUCAUCUGCGAAUCUCUAAUGUCUUCGAAAGGAUUUUUAUGUUGUUGGCAAGAUUCUUUUUAUUAAGCAGCCUUGCAUCCAUCACAGGUAUAUAUAAUACAACUAUUUCAUAUCCAGCUUUAUUCACUGCACAUAUCGGUUUGCGAAACUCCGCGUCCCUCAGCUGGACCCUUUUGUUGGGAAGUUAGUAAUUCGUGUGGUAUUAUUAUGGACUUACUAUGCCUGUCUAUUAACAAUGUAAUCUUUAAUUUUCUGUUUCUCUUUAUAGAUAAAUGAUCACGAGAAUUAAGCUUUUCCACUUUUGUGUAGUGCAAGCAUAACUGAGGAGCUUUGUAUGUGCAAUCUAAAACCUUAGAGCUUGAAUCCAGGCUUAGUUCUGUUGUAUUAAUUCGAUUAUGGCUUCCCUGAUUAGAUGUUUCUAAUGUGAAGGAUCCAAUUUCAUUAAGUGCGUAUGAUGUGGGGUUAACUACUUAAUCAUAUUUCUGGCUUGAAAAUGAGUUAUGGGUUAUGUUCCAGGCAAUUGACAAUGAUUGUAAUUUAUUAGAGAUUUUGUUAUGAUUAAUUACUGUUUCUUGGUUUUGUUUAUUGGUUUGGUGCUUAAUCAGGCCAAAUAUAUGUUACACUGUGGACAGUGUUAUUGUUUACUUUACUCCUGAAAAAUCUUUGACCUGUAUUGUACUGAACAGUAUAUAAAACGGGUAGUCUUGCAAACCUUUGAAUCUUUUUUUUUGCUUAGACUUUUGGGCAAAUCUUAUAUGGAAAUGUAGAAAUGGGCAUGAGAUUUUGAGUACUGGAAUCUUAUCACUUUUUUGAAUGAAUUAGUUUGAGUUCAGCAAAACGGUGAGUUUCCUGGGCAUGUAAUGUGUUAGAUCACAAUAUAUGCGCAGAAGGGUUAGUUUGUGGAGCAUGGAAGUUUUUUUUUUAAACAAUAUGUUUAUUGAUUUCUCUUUGAUGUGUUACAUGGUGUUGAUGAUAAGAUCGUCUUUUUAUUCUUCUAUUGUGUUGGGAUUUAUGACAAGCAUUAUUACCUAUAAAUUGAUAGUGGUAGAUGGAAUUCAUCUUCAGUUUUUACGAACAUCCGGUUCUUUACAUUACCUUUGAUUUGUGAAUUUUUGCAAGACCAAAAUCUAAGACUGCAAAAUAUUUAUUCCUUAAGAGGGUUUGAACUGUAUAAACUAACUUUGGAAACGUUUUUUUUUACAGGUUUGAACUAUAAUACAAACAAGCCUUCAUCUUCGUGAAGAUGCACAGUUCAUAAGGCGGUGAAAUCUUCUACUUCGUGAAGAUGCAUAGUUCAUAAGGCUACGAAAUCGUCUAAUGAUGGAAACGUAGCAUCUGUGUAACAGUCGGGCAGCUACCAAGUCUAAUCCAUGCAAUAUCACUUGGAAAUUGAUAGUGGUUUAAUGUGUAGCCUAAAUUAUACGGAGAUGGUAUUUAGCAGUAACAGAAACGUAGCAUCCGUGCAACAGUGAAAUAGCUUCAAAGCCCGAGGGCAUACCAUACAAAGGAAUCAAAUUCGAAACUGAUCUAUUAAGAUACGUACAGAAUUCUAUUGUAUUUGUAUUUUUAGUUCAUUUUUACCAAAGUUUGUUCUGACAAUUACAGUGAUUA
Long non-coding RNA from Papaver somniferum (opium poppy), 3299 nucleotides. RefSeq lists it as uncharacterized. The record is from RefSeq and is a predicted model, not a curated record. The transcript is spliced from 4 exons. Lineage: Eukaryota; Viridiplantae; Streptophyta; Magnoliopsida; Ranunculales; Papaveraceae.